This 499-nucleotide ribosomal RNA is filed under the name uncultured bacterium. RNAcentral's name for it is "bacterial SSU rRNA". It matches the Rfam family "Bacterial small subunit ribosomal RNA", at positions 28 to 526 of the family's 1533-position model. The record is from RNAcentral.
GAUGAACGCUGGCGGCGUGCCUAACACAUGCAAGUCGAGCGGAGAUAUAUUUUUAGAGAGCUUCGGCAGGAAGAAAAUAUAUUUUAGCGGCGGACGGGUGAGUAACGCGUGGGCAAUCUGCCCUCUGCACAGGGAUAACUGAGAGAAAUCUCAACUAAUACCUGAUAAGCUUCCGGGUUGGCAUCGACCAGGGAGAAAAGAUUUAUCGGCAGAGGAGGAGCCCGCGUCUGAUUAGCUAGUUGGUGGGGUAAGGGCCUACCAAGGCGACGAUCAGUAGCCGACCUGAGAGGGUGAUCGGCCACAUUGGGACUGAGACACGGCCCAAACUCCUACGGGAGGCAGCAGUGGGGAAUAUUGCACAAUGGGGGAAACCCUGAUGCAGCGACGCCGCGUGAGUGAAGACGGCCUUCGGGUUGUAAAGCUCUGUCAACGGGGACGAUAAUGACGGUACCCGUGGAGGAAGCCACGGCUAACUACGUGCCAGCAGCCGCUGUAAGAC